This 207-nucleotide ribosomal RNA is filed under the name uncultured bacterium. Its description in RNAcentral is "partial 16S ribosomal RNA". It matches the Rfam family "Bacterial small subunit ribosomal RNA", at positions 568 to 774 of the family's 1533-position model. The record is from RNAcentral.
CAUGUAGGCGGAUAGGAAAGUCGGUUGUGAAAUCCCUGGGCUCAACCUAGGAACUGCAUCCGAAACUGCCUGUCUUGAGUAAUGGAGAGGGUGGCGGAAUUCCCGGUGUAGAGGUGAAAUUCGUAGAUAUCGGGAGGAACAUCAGUGGCGAAGGCGGCCACCUGGACAUUUACUGACGCUGAGACGCGAAAGCGUGGGGAGCAAACA